This 252-nucleotide ribosomal RNA is filed under the name uncultured Bacteroidales bacterium. RNAcentral's name for it is "partial 16S ribosomal RNA". It matches the Rfam family "Bacterial small subunit ribosomal RNA", at positions 524 to 776 of the family's 1533-position model. The record is from RNAcentral. Lineage: Bacteria; Pseudomonadati; Bacteroidota; Bacteroidia; Bacteroidales.
UACGGGGGAUGCGAGCGUUAUCCGGAUUUAUUGGGUUUAAAGGGUGCGCAGGCGGAGGUGCAAGUCAGUGGUCAAAUUGCGGGGCUCAACCCCAUCCAGCCGUUGAAACUGGGGAUCUAGAGUGUGCGAGAGGUAUGCGGAAUGCGUGGUGUAGCGGUGAAAUGCAUAGAUAUCGCGCAGAACUCCGAUUGCGAAGGCAGCGUACCGGCGCCAGACUGACGCUGAGGCACGAAAGCGUGGGGAUCGAACAGG